This 1566-nucleotide ribosomal RNA is filed under the name uncultured Cantharellales. RNAcentral's name for it is "eukaryotic LSU rRNA". The stretch from base 588 to 1566 matches the Rfam family "Eukaryotic large subunit ribosomal RNA", at positions 1 to 982 of the family's 3401-position model. The record is from RNAcentral. Lineage: Eukaryota; Fungi; Basidiomycota; Agaricomycetes; Cantharellales.
UCCGUAGGUGAACCUGCGGAAGGAUCAUAGUAAUCGUCUUUGACGUUCGCUUUUCCGUCGUCCUCGGGACGUUAAGGUGCUCUGGUCGAGGAUAAGCGACCCCUCUGACCGAGGUGAAACCCGUCUCUCUGUGUUACCUCGAGAAACUCUUUUUUCCGAGGCACACGUUAAAGAUUGUUCCGCGUUGUGAGUCUAACAUCGGUUGUAUAAACUUUUUACAACCGGUAGCGCUGGAUCCCUUGGCACGUCAUUCGAUGAAGACCGUUGCAAAUUGCGAUAAAGUGAUGUGAUGCGCAAGUCCACCACUUAUACGUGAAUCAUCGAGUUGUUGAACGCAUUGCACCGCGCCCUAAUCCGGCUGCGGUAUGCCCCUUUGAGCGUCAUUGUAUCCCUUCGGGAGUCCUUUUACAAGGACCCGAGCUCGGAGUCCUCGGUCCUCUCUGGAUCGUGUUCUCUCAGAUGCCUCGCGCCGAUCGCCUGAUGGGUCCUCUAAUGCCUAAGCGUGGAGUUCCUUCAGUCCGAGAUGCGCUUGACCGGGUCUUGAGCCUGCGUCAUCAAGUCUGCCUAACCGGCGGUACUACAACGCAUGACCUCAUUGGGGUAGGACAACCCGCUAGACUUAAGCAUAUUUAAUCAGNCGGANGAAAAAGAAACUAACCAGGAUUCCCCUCAGUAACUGCGAGUGAAGCGGGGAUCGGCUCAAUGUGUGAAUCUGGCUUGGGGGUACGUYCCCGGGUUCCGAGUUGUGCACCUACGGAUGCUUCNUUCUGCGUUUGUAAAAGGCGGUGGAAAGUUCCGUUGAAAACACGGCACCUCAGAGGGUCACAGUCCUGUACCCACCUGCCUGCACUCGCGCCAAUGACAAGUGCUCCUCGAGUCGCGUAGUUUUGUAAUGCUGCGCCAAGUGGGAGGUAGAGACCUUCUAAGGCUAAAUAUGAUGACGUGACCGAUAGUUCACAAGUACCGCGAGGGAAAGGUGAAAAGUAACCAUGUAGAAUGGGUUGAAAGAGAAGUGAAAGUGCUACCGGGAUAAGGGCAUGUGACAGCUGGUGUCUGUAGGGCGUGCUUCAGUGCUGUCCUUCUAGAACGGUGUGCGGAUGUGUUCGAUGGGGAGACAAGGCUGUCUGGGAAUGUGGCUCAACCUUCGGGAUGAGUGUUAUAGCCCGGCGUGCAAAAGAACCCCAUGACACAUGUGAACUGUGCAUCUUGCUGUGGCAUGCCUCCCGUCUCGAAACACGGACCAAGGAGUGCAUCUUGCAUGCGAGUCGAAGGGGGUUGGAAUCCCUGGAGGCGUAGCGAAAGCGAAAGACUGUGAAUUGUUGGCAGGCCCUUGUGGCCAGAUGGGAUGAUAAAUCAGCAGCGACCCGCUUUGUGCGAGGGAGAGCAUGCAGGAUACGACCCGAAAGAUGGUGAGCUAUGCUUGGACAAGGUGAAGCCAGUGGAAACGCUGGUGGAGGCCUGAAGCGGUUCUGACGUGCAAAUCGAUCGUGUGAUCUAAGUAUAGGGGCGAAAGACCUAUCGAACCGUCUAAUGGCUGGUUCCCCCCGAAGUUUCCCUCAGGAUAGC